GACGAACGCAGGCGGCGUGCCUAAUACAUGCCAGUCGAGCGGACUUUCAAGAAGCUUGCUUUUUGAAAGUUAGCGGCGGACGGGUGAGUAACACGUGGGCAACCUGCCUGCAAGACGGGGAUAACUCCGGGAAACCGGGGCUAAUACCGGAUAAUAUCUUCCUUCGCAUGAAGGAAGGUUGAAAGGCGGCGCAAGCUGCCGCUUGCAGAUGGGCCCGCGGCGCAUUAGCUAGUUGGUGAGGUAACGGCUCACCAAGGCGACGAUGCGUAGCCGACCUGAGAGGGUGAUCGGCCACACUGGGACUGAGACACGGCCCAGACUCCUACGGGAGGCAGCAGUAGGGAAUCUUCCGCAAUGGACGAAAGUCUGACGGAGCAACGCCGCGUGAGCGAAGAAGGUCUUCGGAUCGUAAAGCUCUGUUGUCAGGGAAGAACAAGUACCGUUCGAACAGGGCGGUACCUUGACGGUACCUGACCAGAAAGCCACGGCUAACUACGUG
RNAcentral lists this ribosomal RNA (499 nucleotides) under uncultured bacterium. RNAcentral describes it as "partial 16S ribosomal RNA". It matches the Rfam family "Bacterial small subunit ribosomal RNA", at positions 28 to 507 of the family's 1533-position model. The record is from RNAcentral.